CUAUGCCUCUGUAGAUAUGCACGGGGCGCAUAGCUUUAAAAUUAACGCAUAUUCGAUUGGAGAAUAGAAAAUGUCUUUAACUGCACAAGAGAAAGAAGCAAUUGUAAGUGAAUUCGGCCGUGGCGCU
The sequence is a regulatory RNA element, 127 nucleotides long. It matches the Rfam family "Ribosomal S15 leader". Rfam says of the family: The E. coli Ribosomal S15 gene 5' UTR can form two alternative structures. One that is a series of three hairpins, The other includes a pseudoknot. The record is from Rfam.